Molecule: ribosomal RNA, 790 nt
Filed under: uncultured archaeon
Lineage: Archaea
Description: partial 16S ribosomal RNA
Rfam family: Archaeal small subunit ribosomal RNA
Source: RNAcentral
ACGGCUCAGUAACACGUGGACAACUUACCCAAGAGUCCGGGAUAACCCCGGGAAACUGGGGAUAAUACCGGAUAGAUCAUCUGUGCUGGAAGGCUGGGUGGUUGAAACUUCCGGGGCUUUUGGAUGGGUCUGCGGCUGAUUAGGUUGUUGCCGGUGUAACGUACCGUCAAGCCUGUAAUCAGUACGGGUUGUGGGAGCAAGAGCCCGGAGAUGGAUUCUGAGACACGAAUCCAGGCCCUACGGGGCGCAGCAGGCGCGAAAACUCUACAAUGCAGGCAACUGCGAUAGGGGAACAUCGAGUGAUCCUCAUAUUGGGGGUCUGUCCACCCGUCUAAAAAACGGGUGUUAGCAAGGGCCGGGCAAGACCGGUGCCAGCCGCCGCGGUAAUACCGGCGGCUCGAGUGGUGGCCGAUAUUAUUGAGUCUAAAGGGUCCGUAGCCGGCUUUGCAAGUCUCUCGGGAAAUCCAGCGGCUUAACCGUUGGUCGUCCGGGGGGUACUACAUUGCUUGGGACUGGGAGAGGUAGGAGGUACUCAGGGGGUAGGAGUGAAGUCCGUUGAUCCAUUGAAGACCACCAGUGGCGAAGGCGGCUUGCCAGAACGCGCUCGACGGUGAGGGAUGAAAGCUGGGGGAGCAAACCGGAUUAGAUACCCGGGUAGUCCCAGCUGUAAACGAUGCAGACUCGGUGAUGAACAGGCUUCGUGCCUGUUCAGUGCCGCAGGGAAGCCGUUAAGUCUGCCGCCUGGGGAGUACGGUCGCAAGACUGAAACUUAAAGGAAUUGGCGGGGGAG